Phasianus colchicus (ring-necked pheasant) is the source of this 1739-nucleotide long non-coding RNA. The record is from Ensembl. NCBI's taxonomy places the organism in Eukaryota, Metazoa, Chordata, Aves, Galliformes, Phasianidae.
AUAAGAUAAAAACUAACAACAAAGCAGGACCUUUUCCAGCUAGAUGUUGGUUUUAGAAACACAUAGAUCCAGGCUGAAAUUUGUCUGUUUUCUGAGGCUGGCAGUGACCCACCCACUGCCCCGGUGCCACUUUGCAUCCCAGCUGGUUCCUGUGGCCACUGAGCUGUCCAAAGGGGCUGCCAUCUAGGUCCUAAUGCUCUGCCAGCAUAACAGCAGUGGUUGUGCUUGUGGAUGGACUUAUAUUUUGCUCUUUCUUUCCAGAAAUAAUGGAGUUCAGACUGCCAGCGAAUACCAGGGAUCAGCUGUGACCAAAGGACAAGUAAAGGAAGAUCUGAUGUCAAGCACCAGGGAAGCUGCUGAGUUCCCAGUGCUGUUGGAUCCACCUUCAUCUCCUUCUGCAGCCAUCAGGCCUGUCCUCGCUCAGGUGGAGGGUGAAGGGCUGUGGGGACCCAGUGGUGGCUUCCCACGUUGGCCCCACACAUGUUGUUGUAGUCGCUGCUCGGCUCGGGCUCUGCCCCCUCGCUGUGUCUUAGCAUGUUUCUACAAUAAAGAUAACUCCACAGCGUCCUGUCGCUUUUCUUCACUGAGCCUCACAGGAGGGACGUGUGAGUCCCCGGUCCGGCUGCUCGCCGCGCGUCCCUUGAGCACUAAGCACCAAACCCAAGUGAAGAUGUCAGACACAGACAAGAAGAAUGUGGUCUGGGUUCUGUUAGCAGGGACCAGCAGUUGGGUUCUCUGACUUGCUGUAGGGCCUUGGGUGUAUCUCUUUGCCUCCCUUCAGCCCUUUUCUCUUGCCUGUAAAAAAUGGACAUUAAAAGAUGCUUACCUACCUCAGAGGGUUGUUUGGAGAUUUUAAUUGGUUUGCAUUGGAGAGCCCACAGACGGAAUUCUGUUCCUACGCACCAAUGCUGGAGUGCAGGACGUUUAACUGUUGCAGUCAUGGCCUCUUCCAGCCAACACCCGAUGGGCCGUGUGUAUUUCCUGUUCUUUCGUUUAUGGCUGUUACUUAAAGCAAAUAUGUUCUUAUUUGUAUAAACUUUAUUGCAGGACAUUUCCAGAAGACCUUGAGUGAACGUACAGUGUUUGAGUCCACUUUAGCUAUGACCUGAUCUGCAAAUACUCUCUGUUGUAGAUAAGGCCGGAGUGACUUUCAGGUUUUGGCAGAAUUUCACUCAAUGCCAAUUAAUUUGGCUCCCUCCACAGAUAUUGAUUUUUUUUUUUUUUCAAUUAAGUUAUCGCGAUCUUUUUUUUCUUAAUGCAGCUAAUGAAAAUCGAUUUUUACUCUCAUAAAGUACUUCCGCAUGUAUCACAUUUAUCUGUCUAUGGUUUGAUUAUCAGCAGGCUUUGACACAAGAUUAAUAUUUUGUGUGCUGAUUUUUUUAAUGUGUGCAAACACUGUGGUUUAGAAGUACGUUAUCUCUGCUUAUUUCUAUGUGGAAAAUCCCACCUUGCAGUUAUGCAUGGCAGAAGUCACCAGUUGGAUCCAAUUUAGCUGUUUCUAGGGAUGCAAGAUUCCUCUGCCUUUGAGCGGGUGAAUCCUUGAAUGUUAUUUAUACUUUCUGAGAAGGAUGAAUAUCAGAUGGUAAAAAUGUUCACUAAUGAUGUCUGCUCGCUGAUUCUAGCUAAAAUCGUGUGCAGGGACCUCUACGUGAUUUUUGUAAAAGCAGUACACAAUUUGAGGCUUAAAAUAAGUUCUUGCAAAUGAAAAUCAGCGCACUUGAGAGCGCUAUUAUAACUUG